AGUGAGUAGGGUGUUGCGUAGGCAAAUCCGCGCAACGUGAGCCUGAGACACGAUGACGAGUGAAAAAUAGUAACGAAGUCCUUGAUCCUCCGCUGCCAAGAAAAGCUGCUAAGGAAUAUAGAGGUGCCCGUACCGCAAACCGACACAGGUAGACAGGCAGAGAAUACUAAGGCGCGCGAGAUAACUCUUGUUAAGGAACUCUGCAAAAUGAACCCGUAACUUCGGGAGAAGGGUUGCUCUCUAGCGUGAGUAUGAGCAAUACAGAGCGCAGGAGAGUCGCAGUGAAAAGGUCCAGGCGACUGUUUAGCAAAAACACAGGUCAUGCAAAAUCGCAAGAUGAAGUAUAAUGGCUGACGCCUGCCCGGUGCUGGAAGGUUAAGGGGAAGAGUGCAAGCUUUGAACCGAAGCCCCAGUAAACGGCGGCCGUAACAAUAACGGUCCUAAGGUAGCGAAAUUCCUUGUCGGGUAAGUUCCGACCCGCACGAAAGGCGAAACGAUCUGGACGCUGUCUCAACAAGGGACUCGGUGAAAUUGAAAUUCCGGUAAAGAUGCCGGAUACCUGCGAUAGGACAGAAAGACCCCAUGGAGCUUUACUGUAGCCUGAUAUUGGGUUUCGGAUAUUCAUGUACAGGAUAGGUGGGAGACUAAGAAGCAUGGACGCCAGUUUGUGCGGAGUCACUGGUGGGAUACCACCCUUAAAUGUUUGGAAUCCUAACAAGGAUUCUUGAAGCAGAUUAUUGGACAGUGUCAGGUGGGCAGUUUGACUGGGGCGGUCGCCUCCCAAAAGGUAACGGAGGCGCUCAAAGGUUCCCUCAGAACGGAUGGAAAUCGUUCGCAGAGUGCAAAGGCAGAAGGGAGCUUGACUGCGAGAGCCACAACUCGAGCAGAUAGGAAACUAGGGCUUAGUGAUCCGGCGGUCGCGAGUGGAAGUGCCGUCGCUCAACGGAUAAAAGCUACCCUGGGGAUAACAGGCUUAUCUCCCCCAAGAGUUCACAUCGACGGGGAGGUUUGGCACCUCGAUGUCGGCUCAUCGCAUCCUGGGGCUGAAGUAGGUCCCAAGGGUUGGGCUGUUCGCCCAUUAAAGCGGUACGCGAGCUGGGUUCAGAACGUCGUGAGACAGUUCGGUCCCUAUCCAUCGCGGGCGUAGGAAAUUUGAAGGGAGCUGACCCUAGUACGAGAGGACCGGGUUGGACAGACCGCUGGUGAACCAGUUGUUCUGCCAAGAGCAUAGCUGGGUAGCUAAGUCUGGAAAAGAUAAACGCUGAAAGCAUCUAAGCGUGAAGCGAACCUUAAGAUGAGAUUUCCCACAACGAAAGUUGAUAAGACACCAGAGAGAAUAACUGGUAGAUAGGUCAGGAGUGUAAGUGUGGUGACACAUUGAGCGGACUGAUACUAAUAAGUCGAAGACUUAGUC
RNAcentral lists this ribosomal RNA (1414 nucleotides) under metagenome. RNAcentral describes it as "bacterial LSU rRNA". It matches the Rfam family "Bacterial large subunit ribosomal RNA", at positions 1515 to 2925 of the family's 2925-position model. The record is from RNAcentral.